Molecule: long non-coding RNA, 3894 nt
Filed under: Sus scrofa (pig)
Lineage: Eukaryota; Metazoa; Chordata; Mammalia; Artiodactyla; Suidae
Description: lncRNA (ENSSSCG00060019250.1)
Source: RNAcentral
AGAGCCCUCGGCUUCCUGCCGGGUUCCGGCCGGAGUCUCUGAAAUCAAUCGGGUCAAGGUCAAAUGGCCAAACUCAGGAACGUGGGUUUAGAGAAGAGAACGGACACCGUGCAGCCGGCUCCCAGCUGUGACUCAGCGGAAGUUCUGGACAGAGGAGGCCUUACGGAAUGUUCGUGGGUGAGAACAGAACUGCGGUUGGUGGAAUGGGCCGGAACGAGUAGACAGCGAGGCUGAGGAGGNGGGGGGGGGGGGGGGGGGGGGGGGGGGGGGCGUGUGAUGUGAUGGGGACGCUCCCCCCUCCCCACCCCCCGUGGAGCAGCUCUGAGGACGUGCGUGUGCUUAAGGACCGCCUGCUGGAAGAUGCUCGCUUCCCAGUAGGGGCCGGGGCCCCAGGAAGCCUAGCAGGGCGUUUCCCCCCUCGGCAGGGGCCGAGUCUCUGGGCCGGACCCCUAGACUGUGCCUGGCUCCUGGCUUGAUGGAGGUGGCACCCGAAGUGGACUGAGGUGGAGGGAGGGCUCCUGGCUUCCAGCCACUGCCAGACUCAGAGAAGCAGAGUUGUGGCAGGAGGGGACAGCUGGCAGGCGUCCCUUGCUGAGGUCACAGCAGCUACCUAGGCGGUGGCCUUGGUGGCCCCCUGACUCCAGGGAGGAGCUGCACUCCAGGAGUGGUGCUGAGGCGGGAGGGACGGGGCCAAAGACGAACAUGCCACAGAGACUCUUGUCCUGUGAUGAUCGCACAGAACGUGGCAGCUGAGGACCAGGGCGAGCCAGGUGUGCCAGGGCCCCCAGGGGCUCCCCUGCCAGGCAGGACCUUUGGCUCCUGCGACAGCAAAGGGAAAACAGUCACAUGCCCACUCUGACCAGGCGGUCAGGGAAAGGGGCAGGAGGGCCCCUUCUGCCAAGUAGAUGGACUCCUGCUCUUCUUUCUGUUUAUCCUCCCCUGUUAAAGUGUUAACGCCCCUUCCACAAGCUGUGCCAGCAUCUCCACCCCUUCAGAUGCCCAGCUGGCUCUCUCUCGACUCCAAGACCAUGCAUUUAUUGGGAGUUAUUUAUGUGCAAGGCCCUGUGCCUGGCGCUAACACCAAAGCAAGAUGAAUGGACGCGAAGCGGGUGGCCAAGAUCAGGGCUCAGGUUCACCCUGAGUCGCGCCCUCUGCCUGGGUCCGGCACGUCUCGUCUGUGGAACGGGCGGGACCACGCCUGCCUCGUGAAGUGACUCGAGGUCUACAUGUGAUUCUUUUAUAAAAGUCUGCAUGGUGCCCAGCAAGUGACAGGCCGUCUCUAGAUGAAGGUGCCCCCCGCCCCUCGCUGAGGAAAGGGGCCCAGUAGUCAGAUGGCAAAAAGGGUCGUGGAGACCUCAACUGAGUCCCAACCCGGGGUGCGUACUUGCUCAGCAGUCCACGGCCACGCGCUGGAAGUGCAGCCGGAGAGGACACAGGCACUUCAGCAGAGGAGCCUGUGAACAGGGCCUCGCGGGGGCCGCGGGUUUUGAUCAACCUCCUGCGCCAGUGGGAUGGCACAGCCCCGCCCAGGGGCCUCCUGGCUCACAGCCUGCUCAGAGGAUGGGGCUGCCUGGGUGCACGGAAGGAGGCAGAGGGCCAGCCUGGGGGGCCCUAGGGGACCCAGUGUCAUCCCGGAGGGCACAUUUCAGGGCCCUCCAGGGCUCCUCCAGGAGCAGAGGCUGUGUAGUCCCUGACUGUCCCUGUAGGCAGUUCCAGAAACUCUGUCUCUAGGUGACAUUCCUCAGUGCCCCGGGGCCCGGGAGCAGCCCCUUCCCACGUGUGUUCCCACAGCUGCAGGGUGUUUAAAUUGGGCCCCACUGUCCACUGAACAGCUGAAUCUUGGAAACUAUUAAAAGAAAUACAUCACACGGUAGCUUGGAAGUACUGCUGUGCCUCUGGGCGUCACUCAGACUCUUAUUAACGUGUAAUGCCUGGUCUUGAGCACAGCCAGCGACUGUCAAGAGAUCAGGGAGGGACAGGAAGGCACAAAGGGGUCAAAGGACGUGGCGCCCUGGGCAGGGAAGGCCGAGCAGAGAGUCAGCUGGGCAGAGAAGGUGAAGACGCACAUGGGCCGGCCGUUCCCCCGCAGAGAUCACUUUGGGGACAGAAAGGAGGCUCCCGCCCCCCGCCCCGCUGCUGCCAUGAAGACUGGAGCCAAGUAGGGCUGCUCCAGGGGGCUCCCUUCCCCCAUUGCCCAUCCACCACUCCGAUGAGCAGCCAGCUGUGUGUGCCACCCCCGGAGCUGCCCUGAGCCACUCUGAGACCAGGAUGGAGCAUGUGAUGCAGGGACAAGCAGAGGCUUCAAAGGAGGAGCAGCAAAUUCAGAAAGAAGGCUGCUUUUUGAGCUGAAACGGAUUCACGAAGAGAAGUUCUCCAGGCAGUGAGCAGGCAAAUGCUGGCCCCCUGCUUUCUGUGCCGUGUGGCCCUUCCAAGCGGACGUGUUAUGUGCCAAUGUGCAGACAGGAGAGCCGGGCACCCCGGCCCCAAAACAGAGGCUGUGGAACCGCAGCCCCACUUCCGUCCGGGACAAUUGCGGGGGCGUCUAACUCUGCUCGGAGUUUCUGUGCCAUCGGGGUUCCUUAGUCUGCGGUGGUGGGAAAGCCCAGUGGCCCACAGGCUUAAAUCAUGAGGAAAUGUACUCUGUCCUAUCACAAGGGCUCAGAGUCAGUCUCUGGAGGUCGUCUUAGAUACCUUUUUAACUGAAGCAUAACUACUCCAAAAACGUGCUCAAAUCGUGGAGACAGAGCUCGGUGCCUCCUCAGAGUGGACCUUCCUGGAUCAUCCAGUCCAGAUCGGAAGAGUUAAUGACACAUCCCGGUUCCCUCCGGUACAGAAGCACCUCAAUCUUGAAAACGUUUAUUUCCUCCAGGACUGCUUAUCUGCUGCGGUAAUUACCAAUAAAUCUCUCAACAUGAGAAAUCGCAGGGCGAGCGCCUCUGCGAUGAAUAGAGAGGGUGGCUGUUUCGUCUCCAUUCGUCUUGAUAAUUUUCAUCAUCACGUAAACAGCCAGACACAUUGUCAUGAUUCAUGUUCAAGAGCCUACCCAGCUCAGCGUGGAUUCUGGAGAAAUUCUCCCUAAUAAGCUGUUUUGUGAGGGCUGAAAGGCAACAGUGGGAAGCGCUGGUGAUGGUCUGGACUUGUGAGUGAAUGCGUGAGUGGGAGAGAGGAAGACAGAGGGACGGACCUCUGCGAUCAGACGCACGGAGCCCUGGAUCUAGUCGAUGAACCUCCUUCUCCGCCGAGUGGCUCCCUGGCUACUACGCUCAUCAGAAUCCCGGUUCACCUGAGUGAGCAGACACCAGAUACAAAGUGUCAAUUCCAGAUGUGUGUUUCGAGCACUUCCUCCCUUAACAUCCGAACAUAUACAAGGAUUCAGUCCACGGGAUCCCUGAAGGACUCCUGAAAAGCUGGGGUGGGGGAGGUACUCUAAAAAUAUCUGAGCACUAAAGGGAUCCUAUCCUGUUCCCAAACGAGCCCAGACGACUCUCAUCUCAGCCCAGCCGGAAGACAAUCCUCAGUGUGAGAAAACACUUCUCAGGCUGGCACCUGGAAGAAGCUAGGAUUGCCUCGCUGUCUCCAGUGAACCACCUUCCCGCCCACGAGAGAGGUAACGUCUAAGUGCCAGAGACGAAACCCAAGCAGAUGAGAUGCGCCUCAGUUCCGAGCCCAGAGGAAACCAGAUGCUCCCCGGGCUCCUUCCCUCCAGGGCAGCGCCUGUUCUUACUGUAUGUGGUUAUUUUUAAACCCUGGUGUAAAAUAUAGGAUAGCCCAGCUGUUCAGCAUCACACCCAACAUAAGGUCAAUUUUAUAGAGCUGCUCUUCCUUGAAGAGCUAACGUUAAGUGGCCCAAAAGGCCAGUUUUCCCCGCUAAUAAAGGCUUUUGUUCUUGGAAAG